Molecule: long non-coding RNA, 2101 nt
Organism: Astatotilapia calliptera (eastern happy)
Lineage: Eukaryota; Metazoa; Chordata; Actinopteri; Cichliformes; Cichlidae
Source: Ensembl
GGGAGGAAAGCAUGGGAGGCGUUGGGUGAGGGCGUAUCAGUAUCAGUGUACGUGUGUGCGUCUGUGUGGGGAUGUGUAUCCUGUGUUCAGCCUGAGAGAGUGUCCUUUCGACUAUUAGGUGAAAAUCAACAGUCCGCAGCCUACGCAGGUGGCCUUGUGGAAUAGGGCAAGAGAGUCAGUUCGUUCUUGGUAUUGUAUCUCUGGGAAGAAUUGUUGUUGUUCUCCUCGGCAUCAACCUUCAAGCAUUGUCCAGCUGGCGCCGUCGGGGUGGGGGUGUUGUAAAUGUUGUUUUGGGAUGAACAAACUGUAUCAAUUUUACAGUUGUUCUUAAUGUCCAUCACUGGUCUCCUGUUGUAUCAUCUGUUUUAGAACCGUGAGCUCCUCCAAGAUCUUUCCCAUAUUGCGUUCAGUAAGAACAGUCUGAGUACUCACAGCUCUUCCCACAUUUUCGAUAAUAGCGGCCAGCCUUGUGGGGUUUUGAAAGGCAUUCACCGCUUUCUUCAAUUUCCGAUAAGCCAGGGCCAAGCCAGCUCCGAUCAGCAAGAACCCCGUUAUCAUGGUUCCGAACAGGUAGAUGUCUUCAAUGUCCUCAAUAGACAGUCCAACCAGGCACACGACGUGCCACUUCUGCCACUCGUCCAUCGAUUAUCCAGCAGGGAACGUCCCUCCAGGACACUUGGGCUCUCCCGAACCCAGGCUUCUCGUCGAAAAUAGAGUGCCAAUUGCAUUGACAAAUAUCCAGUUAUAAGAACAAGUGACACAAGCAAAUGUCAUAGUUUGGUUACUAACUGGACAACUAGAGGAAGGACAGAAAGGCUAUUAACUAUUAACUGAAACAAACAGCCAAAAAAAAGGCUGUGGCACCCUCCAGCCUUAGAAUAACCCACACUUGAUUGUUCUAUUCAGCUGUCGGAAGCAUGGAAAAACAUGGAAAAAAUAAAAAAGACUCCCCUCACUGGUGAAUCACCAGCACAAAGCAAAACUAACAAUUUCAUCUGAAACUUAAAAGUUAAACAGGGAGGACAGCCAAAAAAACAAAAAACAACAACAAAAAAACCCCCCCCACAGGCCACAAAUCCAACCCAGCAGUACCAUUACAACAUCUUCCCUUCGCCUCCAGGCAGCUGUAGACAGUUUUUCAGUGGAAGAACAUGAAAUGUAGUAUUAAUUUUGGCAGCAGGUAGUUUUAAAAGAAAAGCUUUUGCAUUGAUGAUUUUCUUCGUUCCGAAGGGUCCAGUAUACCUGGGUGAAAGUUCUUAGUGACACAAAAAAUGAGUGACGAAAAUCUUCUGAAAACAGAGACAACUGUUACUUCAACAGAAGAAUACAAAUCUACAGUGAAGAUAACGCUGUUGCCUUGUGAUCAAAGUAAGCAGGAGACAAGGUCUGAAGUUAUGUGAGUCAGCAAGGACUGUAACUAACCUGAGGUUAUCCGAACAACACCACCCAUGGAACAGAGUCCAAUCAGUGAUACUUCUCCAACAUCCACCUAUAGCUUUGUGAGACCUCACUCUGGACCCAACAGAUCCACUGAGGCCAGAAGCAAAGCUUUGCCCGAGAGCUUGUAUGCCCAGGUAGAAAUUCAUCCCAGAUCCUAAAAUCUCUUCAGAAAGCUUGAAACCUGGAUCCCCCGUAGCCGGUUACCAAGAUUACGUGAAGUACCCUCAGAAGGUCUACUCGAUGAUGUUAAUGCAGCACUAUGGAUGAUACCUACAGCCACGCUUACCGAGACUAACAAGCUGAUCUACAAUACGGCAGCAGUGAUCAGUGAGAUGCUUGUGAGACUGCUUUGAACAGCACACGAAGGACCUUCAUCUGGUGGUUCUUCUUCUCCUUUAGUUUGCACCGAAACACUUUCCCUCUGCUUGGAGUGGAUAUAUAAGAUUGUGGGGUGUUUCUGAUUACAGACCUUACGUUUCUAUGGAGAACCACAAGAGUCACACGCAUCGAAAUAAAGAAUUCUGUGCUUAAAUAUUGAAUUGUAGAAUGAAUUCUGCAUUUGUAAAUUCAUUUUUUGAAUUCCAGUUUAAUAAACUGAUUUUCAAAAUGCUUUUUAAAAACUUCAUUUCAAAAACGUUUUUUGAAUUUCAAUUUAAUAAAG